UACGAAGGGGGCGAGCGUUGUUCGGAUUUACUGGGCGUAAAGGGCGCGUAGGCGGCCGAUCAAGUCAGGCGUGAAAGCCCCGGGCUCAACCUGGGAGGUGCGCUUGGGACUGGUUGGCUUGAGUUCGGGAGAGGAGAGUGGAAUUCCCAGUGUAGAGGUGAAAUUCGUAGAUAUUCGCAAGAACACCAGUGGCGAAGGCGGCUCACUGGCCCGGAACUGACGCUGAGGUGCGAAAGCGUGGGGAGCAAACAGG
RNAcentral lists this ribosomal RNA (253 nucleotides) under uncultured bacterium. RNAcentral describes it as "partial 16S ribosomal RNA". It matches the Rfam family "Bacterial small subunit ribosomal RNA", at positions 524 to 776 of the family's 1533-position model. The record is from RNAcentral.